Gasterosteus aculeatus aculeatus (three-spined stickleback) is the source of this 1246-nucleotide long non-coding RNA. NCBI's taxonomy places the organism in Eukaryota, Metazoa, Chordata, Actinopteri, Perciformes, Gasterosteidae. The record is from Ensembl.
AGUUGUGCUUGCACCAUUGCACGAAGUCCUCCACCAGGCCCACAUACUCCCCUCCCUGACCAUCCCUGACACACCCCACUGUUGCAGUGUCAUCUGAAAACUUCUGCAUGUGGCAAGACUCUGUAUUGUAACAGAAGUCAGAAGUGUACAGGGUGAACAGAGCAGGAGGGAGCAUGGUUCCCUGUGGUGCUCCGGUGCUGCAGACCACACUGUCAGACAGGCAGUCCUUCAGUCUGACACACUGUGGCCGCCCUGUCAGCUUGUCUCCCAGUCUGAGGGGUUGGAUGUUGUUAAAAGCACUGGAGAAAUCAAAGAACAUGAUUCUCACAGCACUUUCUCCCUUGUCCAGGUGACUAUGCGUCCUAUGCAGCAGGUAUGUGAUCGCAUCGUCCACUCCUACCUUAUCCUGGGAUGCGAACUGUAGUGGGUCCAAUGCGUGUCGUACCUGAGGUCUGAGUAUGUGCAGUAGCAGUCUCUCCGUGGUUUUCAUUAUGUGUGACGUGAGGGCUACCGGGCUGAUUGAUUGUUAUUCAUUUCAAAAGCCUGAUGUUUCUGGGGGAGAAUUAAAGGUUGAUACUUCUAAAACAAUCCUGUUUUUCACCCAUGGUGAGGCCAAAAAGACGGGAUGACGACAGCACCACUGAGGACUUCUCAUUUGUCCGAGCGGAUUUUUUUGUCAACUGGCCUCUCCCCAUUUCCUUCAUUCUUGCACCCAGAGCUUUUCUGUCGCCUCUCUCUGCUGCCGCAGCAAACGAGGGUCAGAGGAGCUUCAUCAAUUAGCAGCCUGUGUUCAGCACUCUGCAGCUAUCCUGCUUUGACAGAGUGAUCGAUCUCCAGUCUGCACACACAUUGCAUCAACCCCCCCAAGACAGAAGCAACCAGCAGACAAAGCUGUUGGACUUCAGAGCAAAAAGUCUCACAUUUACGGUGGCGCUGAAGUGCAAAACACAACAGCAAAUAGGAAAACACAACGACAUUAACUCCUUACGGAAAGGGGAGGGCCUUAUAGCAGAUAGCAGAGGACGGACCCUUUUGAUUGGACAGACGGACUGUCUGUCUUUUAACCCUCUUAAUCCGAAGCCUUUCGCCGGCGACGAAAAGUGACAUGAAGGAUUCAAAUGGCCGUGACUCCUUUAACUAUUUGCACAAUCGGAGCGCGGGACGCUGCGGCCGACACAGCUCGGCGACCGGAGUCCGAUUCCUUGGCGUGACUGUCUCGCUCAAUGCGUGACACUUGAGAGCCCUG